This 938-nucleotide long non-coding RNA is filed under the name Nicotiana benthamiana. Its description in RNAcentral is "long non-coding RNA (NBEN_LNC005638)". Lineage: Eukaryota; Viridiplantae; Streptophyta; Magnoliopsida; Solanales; Solanaceae. The record is from RNAcentral.
UGUUAAGAUUUUAUUUGAUUUUCUUUAUUUUUCUUAUUUUAAUAGAUAAAAAGAAAAGAAAAAAAAUCCAUCAGCCCUUCAAGGCGUCCCCCACCCCAAUGUCUUCCCCUUCCUUAGAACCUUUUUCUUUCUUUUGUACCUUCAUUAGUCUUCUAACCAAAUUUUCUUCCUUUUCGUUUCUUUCCAAUAGCUAUGAUCUACACUAGUGACUCCACUGUAUCACCUACUCUUCAGUAAAUUCUUCUUAAAUCAGAAGCUAAAUGGCUUUAUUAGUUAAAAUGAGAUCGUAAUUAGGGUGCGCAGAAAUUAAAGAUUGAUUUUGUUUGUGAUUUUGGUAAUUAGCUUAAAUCUUGAAUUGUGAUUUUAGCAUUAUUAUGGUAAAGGUUCUGUUUUUACAGAAAUUGGGUUGUAUGUUUGUUUAUUGCUCUAUCAUAUGGUCUCAUUGUUUCUCAAUGAACUGUAUGGAUAUGAAUUUCUAAGUUAUUUUCUUCAUGUUUUUAUGAAGUUUUCUUCUUAACAUUUUAUGGUGGUUCAGUGGGUCUUGAUUGCAGUUUUGACAAGUGGGCAUAGACGAACUUGUAAUUGGGAUGGUGGCGGAUUGCUGAAAAAAUUAGUUCUUUUGAAGGUUUUGACAGUGGUGAUGUCGUCACCUGUAGUUCAGUAGUAGCAUGCGAAGAUGAAGAAGAUGGAGUAAUGGGAAAUUUUUUGGUUGUUAGGGGUAGAAAUGUACUUUUUAGUAUUUUAUUUUAAUAAAAUUAAGUAAUGAUACAUGUUACAAUUUUUUUAGUGCAUGCUAUGCACCUACCUAAAAAUAAAGUAGUCAAAAUAAAAGUGGUGUGUCUUAGACCCGCUUUGAAAAAGUUGAGUGUGUAAAAUAAUUUUUAUCUGUAAAAGAUGUGUCACAAGGAUUUGGUCCAUAGGUCAGAGAGUAAACUAUA